Molecule: ribosomal RNA, 253 nt
Filed under: uncultured bacterium
Lineage: Bacteria
Description: partial 16S ribosomal RNA
Rfam family: Bacterial small subunit ribosomal RNA
Source: RNAcentral
UACGAAGGGGGCUAGCGUUAUCCGGAUUUACUGGGUUUAAAGGGUGCGUAGGUGGCUUUUUAAGUCAGGGGUGAAAGACGGUAGCUUAACUAUCGCAGUGCCUUUGAUACUGAAGAGCUUGAAUGAACUAGAGGUAGGCGGAAUGUGACAAGUAGCGGUGAAAUGCAUAGAUAUGUCUCAGAACACCAAUUGCGAAGGCAGCUUACUAUGGUGUCAUUGACACUGAGGCACGAAAGCGUGGGGAUCAAACAGG